RNAcentral lists this ribosomal RNA (630 nucleotides) under uncultured SA2 group euryarchaeote. RNAcentral's name for it is "bacterial SSU rRNA". It matches the Rfam family "Archaeal small subunit ribosomal RNA", at positions 252 to 885 of the family's 1478-position model. Lineage: Archaea; Methanobacteriati; Methanobacteriota. The record is from RNAcentral.
CCGAGCCUAUAAUCCAUUCGGGCAUUGAGAGAUGGAGCCCGGAGACGUGCUUUGAGACACGAGCACGGGCCCUAUGGGGCGCAGCAGGCGCGAAACCUUUACACUGCGUGAAAGCGUGAUAAGGGGAUCCUGAGUGCCCUCUCACUGAGGGGGCUUUUCUGGAGUGUAAAUAUUUCCAGGAAUAAGCAGCGGGUAAGACGGGUGCCAGCCGCCGCGGUAAUACCCGCGCUGCAAGUGGUGGCCACUAUUAUUGGGCCUAAAGCGUCCGUAGCCGGCCAGAAGGGUCCUUGGUGAAAUCCUAUGUAAAGCAUGGGGCUUGCCAAGGAAACUAUUUGGCUAGGGACCGGGAGAAGUCGGAGGUACUCUUGGGGUAGGGGUAAAAUCCUAUCAUCCUGAGAGGACCACCUGUGGCGAAAGCGUCCGACUAGAACGGCUCCGACGGUGAGGGACGAAAGCUUGGGUCGCGACCCGGAUUAGAUACCCGGUUAGUCCAAGCCGUAAACAAUGCCCGUUUGGUGUAUCAUAUCCUAUGGGGAUAUGAUGUGCCGGAGCAUAGGUGUUAAACGGGCCGCCUGGGGAGAACGACCGCAAGGUUUAAACUUUAGGGAAUUGGCGGGGGAGCACCACAAG